CGCUGAGGGGGGGAGGGCAGCGACCGGCCCCGCGCCUCGGACCACCGGCUCUGGCCGCGGCAAGGCACCUCCGCCUCCUCCACGCGGAAAAAUCCUGCUCUGCCCGAGAAUGAGCCGCGUUUCCCGCUAAAGAUGCCUGUGUUUCUCCGGUGCUUACAUAGCGAGCCUGCUGAAAAAAAAUUGUUCUUAGAUUACCAUGAUCACGUGUCCAAGGCCUGAUUGUGACUCUGGAGUGAUGGGUGGCACAGAGACUUCAGGACUUUGCUAAUCACCUCCAUCCUCUCUCAGCCUCAAAGAGAAGUUUCAGAGUGGAAUAUGGAUGCUACGUGUGACCUAAGUGACUAUUAUCAUCUGCUUCACCUACUUGUGUGACUUUAAAUAGUUAAACAAACAAAAAGAUAAUAACAGGCAUCUGAAAGAAAUAAUAAUUAUAAUGGAAAGAAUAUUCAUUGCCAUUCCUGGUGAUACUGGCAUGACAUUUUAUGGUCUUUAUACAUCUUUCAAAAUGGUUUGCGAU
RNAcentral lists this long non-coding RNA (517 nucleotides) under Junco hyemalis (dark-eyed junco). RNAcentral describes it as "lncRNA (ENSJHYG00000014994.1)". The record is from RNAcentral. Lineage: Eukaryota; Metazoa; Chordata; Aves; Passeriformes; Passerellidae.